This 723-nucleotide ribosomal RNA is filed under the name uncultured bacterium. RNAcentral describes it as "bacterial SSU rRNA". It matches the Rfam family "Bacterial small subunit ribosomal RNA", at positions 80 to 799 of the family's 1533-position model. The record is from RNAcentral.
UAAGGCCGAUGGCGACCGGCGCACGGGUGAGUAACACGUAUCCAACCUGCCGUCUACUCUUGGACAGCCUUCUGAAAGGAAGAUUAAUACAAGAUGGCAUCAUGAGUCCGCAUGUUCACAUGAUUAAAGGUAUUCCGGUACACGAUGGGGAUGCGUUCCAUUAGAUAGUAGGCGGGGUAACGGCCCACCUAGUCUUCGAUGGAUAGGGGUUCUGAGAGGAAGGUCCCCCACAUUGAAACUGAUACACGGUCCAAACUCCUACAGGAGGCAGCAGUGAGGAAUAUUGGUCAAUGGGCGAGAGCUUGAACCAGCCAAGUAGCGUGAAGGAUGACUGCACAAAAAGGGUUGUAAACUUCUUUUAUAAAGGAAUAAAGUCGGGUAUGGAUACCCGUUUGCAUGUACUUUAUGAAUAAGGAUCGGCUAACUCCGUGCCAGCAGCCGCGGUAAUACGGAGGAUCCGAGCGUUAUCCGGAUUUAUUGGGUUUAAAGGGAGCGUAGAUGGAUGUUUAAGUCAGUUGUGAAAGUUUGCGGCUCAACCGUAAAAUUGCAGUUGAUACUGGAUAUCUUGAGUGCAGUUGAGGCAGGCGGAAUUCGUGGUGUAGCGGUGAAAUGCUUAGAUAUCACGAAGAACUCCGAUUGCGAAGGCAGCCUGUUAAGCUGCAACUGACAUUGAGGCUCGAAAGUGUGGGUAUCAAACAGGCUUAGAUCCCCUGGUAGUCCACC